This is a long non-coding RNA of Sapajus apella (tufted capuchin), 1140 nucleotides long. RefSeq lists it as uncharacterized. NCBI's taxonomy places the organism in Eukaryota, Metazoa, Chordata, Mammalia, Primates, Cebidae. The transcript has 3 exons. The record is from RefSeq and is a predicted model, not a curated record.
UACACAAGAACACAAUGUCAGGGCUUGUGUUUUGGGGCCAGUUCUUGUCUCUUAAUGAGAAAAACAAUUCAAAUUGCAAAUCCACGAUGUUAACGUGGAAUCAUAAGCCACCAUUGCAAAUUUACUGACUGGACUCUUGGGAGAAAAUCACUUUGCUCUGCUCCAAGUGAUGGAUUGAGUAAAUACGGUAUUAGAGAAUCACAACUUAUUAUCUGGUAAGCCUCGCACUAUAAAUUCUUGUGUUAUCAGGUCAUCAAACAGCAUUUUCAAAGGUCAGAUGUGUAUAAGCCAAAGGUAAUAGAGUUAGUUCAGGAAGGUAAAGGGAGAGAUCAGCAAAUCCAUUCAUCAUCUGUCCAAUCGGAUCUGCCAAGAAGCACAGGCAACAUGGGCUACACUGAUAACUCCCAAAUGCUCUCUAGGAUUAUAUAACCCCACAUGCAAUCCAGUAUCCACACCUCACAGUCUAUUAUUGUUAUUAUUAUAUUACAAAGGGCAAUAUGUCUUCUAGCCAUAAAAGGUAUAGUUAUAUAAUAUAAUAUCAUGACAUUUUUUCACAGGCACAUUUGAAUUUCCAACAAAAUGUGGUGAGUAUUACAUUAUGCCUAAGCUAGCAGUGGGUGCUUUGUUACUAGAAGAUUUUAGUCCAAUAAUAAUCAAUAUUGUUUUAAACAUGUGACUGUUAAAGCUGCUUUAGCCUUAUCUCUGCAGCGUAAUGGGAACUUAUCUGGUCUGAGACUGGGAGCUGGGGGAGGAGGAAGGGUAGAGGAAUCCCAGACGGCUGAGCCUAUCUCCACACGCCUGUGCACAUCUGAUGGGGAGGGAGGGCCAGGCCCAGAGGUUGCCGAUUGCUAGACUUGAGCAGAAUUGGCAAGAAAAGCUGUCAUGGAGGAAAUGACUGUAGGUGCCAGGGGUCAGAGACAAGGAACAGGGAGCACCUGCGUGGCCAGCCUCCCUCCCAUGCCAUCCUACAAAGUAAAACAGCUCUUUCACAAGACAUAGUGAGGUACAGGAGCUUAGUAAUCUCCACGGAUGACCAUGUAUGAAUGACAGUGUGGGAAAUUAGCAUUUGACUGCUUGAACGGCAUCAAGAACCAAACUCCAGGCACAGGAUUCAGCUUGCCCAUGAUAAAGAGAUUGAGA